GCCUGCUGCAGGUGUGAUUGGUUUGGUUGUGCUGCAGAGCAGUAGCGGUGUGGGCAGGGUCCCAAGGACAGGGAUGUACUAUAAGCAGCUUUCUCUACAAGCAAAAAUCUGAACUGGCUCAGGUCUCAUGACAGAACAGCUGUCCUCAGGCUACUUGAAGAAGCAAAUUUGCUAGAAAAAACCCUGGAGCACAACAAUCCUGCCACAUGGGAGAGAUUGUAUCAGGAUACUCCAUAAGAAGCCUGUCCUAAAAGUCAAACUUGAAAUUUAAGAAUGAAAAAAGUCCUUCUUCAUCUAGAAAAAUGUAUGUAUUAACAACAGACAGAAAGCCAAGAUGAAUGUUCAAACCUGCAGAAGUGAAGAGGAUAUUUCCUUGUGGAGCUCAGUUUUAGGGCACUUCAUAAAGAGAAUAGUAAGGACGCCCUUCUAUAUAGUAUUUGAUAUAUCCUGAAGAUGAAAAAAAACAAGGGAGUCCAUAUUGAAAGUUCAGGACACUGCAAAUUUCAUUAAGUUGAUUGGAGUUGUAUCUGAAGCCUAAGGAACAUACAUCUGAGCCAUCAGAAGAAGAAAAAUAAAUGUAGACAGAAAGCCA
This 592-nucleotide long non-coding RNA is filed under the name Coturnix japonica (Japanese quail). RNAcentral's name for it is "lncRNA (ENSCJPG00005018440.1)". The record is from RNAcentral. Lineage: Eukaryota; Metazoa; Chordata; Aves; Galliformes; Phasianidae.